Dendronephthya gigantea is the source of this 753-nucleotide long non-coding RNA. RefSeq lists it as uncharacterized. NCBI's taxonomy places the organism in Eukaryota, Metazoa, Cnidaria, Anthozoa, Malacalcyonacea, Nephtheidae. The record is from RefSeq and is a predicted model, not a curated record. The transcript is spliced from 3 exons.
GAGCCUCGCACCGAUAGCAGCUGUACUCUUGUUUCUCAGUGCGUUGUGAAACAAGCUCUCUAAGGAAUUGGACAAAUAUACCUACAAAGAUUCCGUAAUGGCGCUCUUCAUUCGAAUUUGCCUCGUAUCAUUUCUUUUUCUCGUCCUCCUGGCGUCGGUGGAAGCUCAUCGAGGACACAGAAGAAUGUCAAAAAGAACCAGACAUCACUCAGAUCCGAAGAGAAAUCAUUUCGGACCGUGUUUCCGGGAACAGGAACGAAUCGAGAAAAAGGUCAAAGAAAGAAGGAUCUUCGACUUGCUUCCGCCAUCUUGUGACGACGACGGUUACUAUAAGCCAUUGCAAUGCGAUUUCCACGGCUGUCGUUGCGUCAACAAGCUUGGAAUUCAUCUGAAGAAACUCUGGCGAGGUUGGUUAAGAAGUUCGGCUGAUGCUUGCUCAAGGAUUGCAUUUAGAUAUUGACGACCGUCUGUAUUUGGGCAUAGAAUUUGAAAAGGAAUUUUCGAAUGAAGUCGCCCACCAUUCGCCUAAUCGUGAAAAAAAUUUUCAUGACUUAAUCAGUUAUCAAUUGGUGAAGUUGAUUUAGUAUUGUAUUGACUGACGAACAGCCAAAAUGGCUUCUGGAACAUUUAUGUUUACUUCUUAGUUUCAACCGAAAACAAUGAUUACGCACAAUUAUAGGCAGGCGUUACUUUCACUGUUGGUUAAUAGUGUUAUAUAACCGUUGUUAUGUAAUAUGAAAAAAAAUCGUAGUA